CCAGACUCCUACGGGAGGCAGCAGUGGGGAAUAUUGCACAAUGGGGGAAACCCUGAUGCAGCGACGCCGCGUGAGUGAAGAAGUAUUUCGGUACGUAAAGCUCUAUCAGCAGGGAAGAAAAAAAGUCCUUUGGACUUUGGACGGUACCUGACCAAGAAGCCCCGGCUAACUACGUGCCAGCAGCCGCGGUAAUACGUAGGGGGCAAGCGAUAUCCGGAUUUACUGGGUGUAAAGGGAGCGUAGACGGCAGCGCAAGUCUGGAGUGAAAUGCCGGGGCCCAACCCCGGAACUGCUUUGGAAACUGUGCAGCUGGAGUGCAGGAGAGGUAAGCGGAAUUCCUAGUGUAGCGGUGAAAUGCGUAGAUAUUAGGAGGAACACCAGUGGCGAAGGCGGCCUGCUGGGCUUUUACUGACGCUGAGGCUCGAAAGUGUGGGGAGCAAACAGGAUUAGAUACCCCGAUA
RNAcentral lists this ribosomal RNA (461 nucleotides) under uncultured bacterium. Its description in RNAcentral is "bacterial SSU rRNA". It matches the Rfam family "Bacterial small subunit ribosomal RNA", at positions 331 to 792 of the family's 1533-position model. The record is from RNAcentral.